UACGAAGGGUGCAAGCGUUACUCGGAAUUACUGGGCGUAAAGCGUGCGUAGGUGGUCGUUUAAGUCCGUUGUGAAAGCCCUGGGCUCAACCUGGGAACUGCAGUGGAUACUGGGCGACUAGAAUGUGGUAGAGGGUAGCGGAAUUCCUGGUGUAGCAGUGAAAUGCGUAGAGAUCAGGAGGAACAUCCAUGGCGAAGGCAGCUACCUGGACCAACAUUGACACUGAGGCACGAAAGCGUGGGGAGCAAAC
RNAcentral lists this ribosomal RNA (250 nucleotides) under uncultured bacterium. Its description in RNAcentral is "partial 16S ribosomal RNA". It matches the Rfam family "Bacterial small subunit ribosomal RNA", at positions 524 to 773 of the family's 1533-position model. RNAcentral also lists the same sequence under 1 other name. The record is from RNAcentral.